GAUGAACGCUGGCGGCGUGCCUAAUACAUGCAAGUCGAGCGAACGGACGAGAAGCUUGCUUUUCUGAUGUUAGCGGCGGACGGGUGAGUAACACGUGGAUAACCUACCUAUAAGACUGGGAUAACUUCGGGAAACCGGAGCUAAUACCGGAUAAUAUUUUGAACCGCAUGGUUUAAAAGUGAAAGACGGUCUUGCUGUCACUUAUAGAUGGAUCCGCGCUGCAUUAGCUAGUUGGUAAGGUAACGGCUUACCAAGGCAACGAUGCGUAGCCGACCUGAGAGGGUGACGGCCCACAUGGAACUGGGGCACCGGCCAAGCCCCCAACGGAGGCCAGAGGAGGGAAAUCUCCGCAAAGGGCGGAAGCCUUACCGAGCAACGCCGGGUGAGUGAUGGAAGUCUUCCGAUCGUAAAACUCUGUUAUUUGGGAAGAACAUAUGUGGAAGGAACUGUGCACAUCUUGACGGUAACUAAUCAAAAAGCCACCGCUAACUACGUG
This 496-nucleotide ribosomal RNA is filed under the name uncultured bacterium. RNAcentral describes it as "partial 16S ribosomal RNA". It matches the Rfam family "Bacterial small subunit ribosomal RNA", at positions 28 to 507 of the family's 1533-position model. The record is from RNAcentral.